This 289-nucleotide ribosomal RNA is filed under the name Candida albicans. Its description in RNAcentral is "partial 28S ribosomal RNA". It matches the Rfam family "Eukaryotic large subunit ribosomal RNA", at positions 1 to 284 of the family's 3401-position model. The record is from RNAcentral. Lineage: Eukaryota; Fungi; Ascomycota; Pichiomycetes; Serinales; Debaryomycetaceae.
CUUUGACCUCAAAUCAGGUAGGACUACCCGCUGAACUUAAGCAUAUCAAUAAGCGGAGGAAAAGAAACCAACAGGGAUUGCCUCAGUAGCGGCGAGUGAAGCGGCAAAAGCUCAAAUUUGAAAUCUGGCGUCUUUGGCGUCCGAGUUGUAAUUUGAAGAAGGUAUCUUUGGGCCCGGCUCUUGUCUAUGUUCCUUGGAACAGGACGUCACAGAGGGUGAGAAUCCCGUGCGAUGAGAUGACCCGGGUCUGUGUAAAGUUCCUUCGACGAGUCGAGUUGUUUGGAAUGCA